GACGAACGCUGGCGGCGUGCUUAACACAUGCAAGUCGAACGGAAAGGCCCUGCUUUUGUGGGGUGCUCGAGUGGCGAACGGGUGAGUAACACGUGAGUAACCUGCCCUUGACUUUGGGAUAACUUCAGGAAACUGGGGCUAAUACCGGAUAGGAGCUCCUGCUGCAUGGUGGGGGUUGGAAAGUUUCGGCGGUUGGGGAUGGACUCGCGGCUUAUCAGCUUGUUGGUGGGGUAGUGGCUUACCAAGGCUUUGACGGGUAGCCGGCCUGAGAGGGUGACCGGCCACAUUGGGACUGAGGUACGGCACAGACUCCUACGGGAGGCAGCAGUGGGGAAUAUUGCACGAUGGGCGGAAGCCGGAUGCAGCAACGCCGCGUGCGGGAUGACGGCCUUCGGGUUGUAAACCGCUUUCGCCUGUGACGAAGCGUGAGUGACGGUAAUGGGUAAAGAAGCACCGGCUAACUACGUG
This 468-nucleotide ribosomal RNA is filed under the name uncultured bacterium. Its description in RNAcentral is "partial 16S ribosomal RNA". It matches the Rfam family "Bacterial small subunit ribosomal RNA", at positions 28 to 507 of the family's 1533-position model. The record is from RNAcentral.